Apis cerana (Asiatic honeybee) is the source of this 4370-nucleotide long non-coding RNA. RefSeq lists it as uncharacterized. Lineage: Eukaryota; Metazoa; Arthropoda; Insecta; Hymenoptera; Apidae. The record is from RefSeq and is a predicted model, not a curated record.
UCGAAAAUCCUUGGGACAGGACGUGUCGCCGGUUCGUACGUCGCAAUUUCUAUUCUUAUUAAAUUAUUUUAUUAAUAUUGUUAUUAGUUUCGUUUAUCUAAGUGUUCAUUGUACAUUGUGAUAAGAAAAUCAAAUAGUUUUGUGAGUGAUUAUGUGAUAUGUUGUGUCGUUAUUCGUCUUUCCGAAAUCCUCGAUAGGACGCAUCACCUUGAGAUUAAUUAUUCGAAUAUCACAAGGUGGAAAGGAAAAAGGAAUUUCAAUAUGGAUGCCGUAACGACUUUCGACGAUUAUUAAUCGGAAAAGUGGUAACAUUUGAUUUUUCAUUUUUUUUUGAAUUAUAAAAUACUGAUAUAUUUAUAUUUGUUAAGUAACUCAUAAUGCACGAAUUAUUAAGAAUACUAUAAUGAAAUUAUAUUAAAUAAAUUACAUUUUUAUUUUCAUAAAUUAUACUUUUUAUUUUAAAUAAAUUAAAUUUAUUCUUUUAUCAUCUAACUCUUAAUUUCUAGCUUCAGAAAAGUAUUUUCUUUAAUAAUGCUCGAUAGAAAAAAGAAGAAAAGAUCAAAAGAUUUUGUUUCUUUUCUCUUGUUUCUUUAUUCCCUCCCUGCUAAUCCAACUUUUCUUUCAGAAAAAAUUAUAACCGCGUGCAAUGCGGUUGAUAGAGUCAGUGUUAAUCUCGUAAUAGUAUUUAAAACAUUUUUUAGAGCACAACUGCUCUAAUUUAAUUUAAUUAUAUUAGUUAUUCGCGAAAUUAGAAUCAGUGUUUGUUCGUCGAUUGAAAUUUAAACGGACGCGUCGAUAGUCUUAUAUUUUUUUUUUUUUUUAAAUAUUCGUUUCGGAUAUAUAUUUAGAGUCAGUGUAUCAAGAGAAUAAGGCGAUCAUCCAUCAUUCGAAGAGGUGCUGAUGAUUUUGCGGUUUUCUCUUGGAUUUGAAUCUUAACAAAUAUAUGUAACCGCGCGCAAUGCGGUUGGUAGAGUCAGUGUUUCCUUCGCAAUAGUAUUUUAAAUAUUUUUUAGAGCACAGCUGCUCUAAUUGAAAUUAAUUAUAAUAAUAAUUAUUCGCGAAAUUAGAGCCAGUGUUUGUUCGCCGAUUGUAAUUUGAACGGACGCGUUAAUAAUUCUUUAUUUUAUUUUAUUUUUUUUUUUUUAAUAUUCGUUUCGGAUACACAUUAGAAUCAGUGAUUCAAGAUUAUAAGGCGAUCAUCCAUCACGCGAAGAGUUUCUUGAUGAGGACUUCCCAUGGGUCAACAUCGAUGGCUAUGCAGAUUCUUCGCAUCUAAUGGUGAGUCGCAUGCAUUUUGUUUCCUCUGGUUACUCAAUCAUGUCGUAGGAUAAAAGAUCCAAAUCGACACGGGUAACUGGUUGUAUACGUAGAAUUUUGCACGAGCACAGUGACCACGGAUAUUUAUUAUUCGUGAAUAGUAACAUUUUCUUUUUUUGUAUUUUAUUUAUUAGUUCAGGCUAGGUCUUCUUGUACAUCGUGUUUUUAAAUAUUAAUAAUUUUCUAAAAUAAUUCUAAAAUUAAAUUAUUGCAAUUAUAAACUAUAUUUCAUAUGAAUAUUUGCAAAUAUCAAAUAUCUAAAAAAAUAUUAAAAUAAUACGAUAAUAAUAAAUCAUAUCACUUGAUUUUGAAGAUAAUAAACAUAAUAAUUUUAUUUCUUUCGUUUGAAAAUAUAUCAAAUAUUAUGUGCAAGAAGACACUUCGCGACAGGCAGAUUUUGAAAUCAAAGCUAUAAGUUUUGAAUAUUUUGUAUUUUAAAAAAUGUGCUUUGAUAAAGGAAUCGCCUGAGGGUAUUUUUAUUGAUAUUUAACUUUCAAUUAUUAAAUUAUUAUUACAUUGUCUUUCAAUAAUUUUUUAAAUAAAUAUAUUCCUAUAUAUUUGAUUAAUAAUUUUAUAGAAUAUUUUAAUAAUUUAUUAUAUUGAUAAAAAGUAAAGUAAAAGUAAAGUAAAAGUAAAGUAGUUUCAUUAAAAUUUGAAAUAUGAUAUAUACAAAAUCAUUAGCCCGUUAAAUAUUUAUACUAAUUUAUCUUUUUAGCUCAGGAUUUUCAGAUUUAACCCUUUCCGUGUUCAUUGCCAGGAACUCACUCACGUGCCCAGGUGUUACUUGGGUGAGAGAGAGGCAAUGGGCAUGAUGACCCUAGUUCAUAAGUUCAUAAAUAUUUUUCAGCGACUGAUGAUGCGUUAGUAUAUCGUGCACGACGUAUUUUUCACAUGUGUAUGUGUGGUUAGGCUGUGGAAUUGCGUCGUUUUAUUCCAUUAAUAAUUAUUAAUUCAAUCACAAUUUGUAAUAUUAACAAUACGUUAUAUAUUACAGAUUAAAAAUAGUAAAAUAUAAUCUUAUUUGUUAUAUCAUUAUAAUAAUGAUACAUUAUCCUCCAAUGAUAUGAUUUUGUUUAGAGGACAUACAUUUUUUUUCAAUUGUACAGUAUAUUUAAUAUUAAAAUUUAUAAACAUAUAUAUAUGAAUAUACACACGAAAUUUUAUUGUCUCAUACGCAAUGGUUGCUAGCCAUCAUCGGUCGAUUUCAGGAGAAUGGUACGUAAAGUUAGAGUAUGCGUGUGGUGUGCCAAGCUCGGGUGUCGGAGGCGUCCCGGGACGCUUUCCCUAGUGUAGGCUUUUGCGCCCGAGUAUUAUGUGUGAGAAUAUCGUGGAAUGAGUGUGUUGGUAUGCCUGUUUUGCUCAUUUUUUAAAUAUAGGGCUAGGUAGGAUAGGUAGUAUACUUCUUGUGUGCCUGUUAAUUAUUAAGUAGGUAGGGCCGGGCAGAUUGUCACAGUCUCUGUUCGGGUAGGCGCGUUUUUUCGCGUGACAAUCUGUUUCAGGAAAUAAAAUUUGGGAAAUCGAGGAUGAGGCUGGGAUGAAUGGUGAACGGUAUCAUUCGUCCCUGGCCUCGUUCAUUCGAUUUUUCGAAUUUCGCGGACGCGAUCGCGAAAAAUAUCGAAACGAACGUUGCGCUCGAGAUUCUGCGCAUGUACGGAGAACGAUCGUUGCGAUUGUUGGUCGUCCAUGCGCACUUAGCUUCCGCGAUUUAGUCCUUUUUUUUCCCCUUUUUUUCUUUGCUCUACGAUUAGCGAAUCUCGAGCCUAGAUAUAAGUUUCAGCGGGCAUCGCGCCCGAAGGAGGAAGACCGAAGAGGCCUCGACAAACUGUCACGAAGAGGGGCUGCAACGAAUGGUUUCUCAUCUUUUGGAUCUGUUUUUUUCGGUCUAAAGGAUGGGAAGUCAUUGUUACUAUUUUGUCACUGUGCUCGUUUUAGUAAUACGUAGUAAUUGUUUGUGUUGUCUGGCCGAUUGCAUGCAGGCCCGUCAUCCAGAUCCAGCCAUCAUGGGCAUCGCGAUUUUUUAUUAGUGUUGCGAUUGAUCAAUAACGGGUUGCAUUAGAGUUGCGUUUACAGAUCUCGCGUUUUGAAUUAGUGUUGCGAUAAAAUGAGAAUCGCGUUCGUUGCAAAUAAUAUCGCGAUUUCUAAUUAUUUUGAUGAAUUAGUCUGCUUUUUUUUUUGUUUUUUUAUUUGAAUUUUUAUUUUUUACUGUUACGAUCAUAUGAUAUAUUAUCGAGAUAUUAAUUUUUAAAGAAUUUUGUAUCGCAUUUGUUUUAAGAAUUAGUGUUGCGAUGACGAAUGAUCGCGUUGUUUGAAGUAGUGUUGCGUUCAUGAAUAAACGCGUUUUGUAUAGUAGUGUUGCGAAUUUACGAAUUGCCCAUUAUUUCUUCCACUUGGACUGUGGAAGCAUGUUCCAGCUCUGGAUCACCUAUUGCGACCAAAAGAGUUGCAAAGGUGGUUUUACACGACGGCAGCCUCUGAUAUGCUGCAACUUUCCGUUAUUAGUGUUGCGUACAAAAAAAUACGAGUGCAUAAAAUAAUUGAUUUAGAGAAUUUCAUAAAUAUUUAAGAUAUUUCAUAUUUUCACGAAUCUUUUAUUUAUUAUUUUUUUCUUUUUUAUUCAAGAAUUGCAUUGUAAAUAUAAUAAAGCACUCUUCGCGUUUUUUUUUGGAGAUCUUAUUAGUAUAUUAGUGUUGCGAGAUAGAAAAGAUUCCACUCACGGUUUGUCCGGGUUUAUAUUGAGUGGAUAUUUUUUUUUGGUAACCCUUCUGGUUACCUCUUUUUUUUCUUUUCAGCAUCCCCUUAUUAAGAGCAUUUUCUAUUGAAAAUACUUUUAAAAAAUAUUAAAUAAUGCUAAAAAAAUAUAUUUCUUUAAAUACGUAAAUGUUUUUAAAAUUAUGAGUUACUUAACAAUAUUUUGGUAAUUUGACUUUAUUUUAAAAAUUAAUAUUUCCUUUUUACUAAUCCAGUAAUUGAGUUUGUUACAGGUACGGAUUGAAGAAAAUAAAAAAGAAGAAGUAAUUUUAAAAAUUAUUAUUUCUUUCUUACUAAUCCAAUAA